Molecule: ribosomal RNA, 253 nt
Filed under: uncultured bacterium
Lineage: Bacteria
Description: partial 16S ribosomal RNA
Rfam family: Bacterial small subunit ribosomal RNA
Source: RNAcentral
UACGGAGGGUGCUAGCGUUGUUCGGAAUCACUGGGCGUAAAGGGCGUGUAGGCGGUCUGUUAAGUCUGAUGUGAAAUCCCCUCGCUCAACGAGGGAACUGCGUCGGAUACUGGCAGACUUGAGUACCGGAGAGGAAGGUGGAAUUCCCGGUGUAGCGGUGAAAUGCGUAGAUAUCAGGAAGAACACCCGUGGCGAAGGCGGCUCUCUGGGACGGUACUGACGCUGAGACGCGAAAGCGUGGGGAGCGAACAGG